RNAcentral lists this ribosomal RNA (540 nucleotides) under Triticum aestivum (bread wheat). Its description in RNAcentral is "partial small subunit ribosomal RNA". Lineage: Eukaryota; Viridiplantae; Streptophyta; Magnoliopsida; Poales; Poaceae. The record is from RNAcentral.
AUGCUGCCCCCAUCGCUUGAGUCAUUCACCUUCUCGCGUGAUUCUUAUACUCAUGACUAUGCCGGGAUAUCUAGAAUUUCCUUCCGGGGUUGUUCUCAGUUGGAGAGUAUACUAUUGCAAGGAGAUCUAGAGAAACUCGAGGAGUUGGACCUCUCAGGCACAGCAGUGAAAGCCCUCGACCUCAGAGAGUUGGAAAUUAACAAUAUCAAAUUCCUCAUCUUGUUGGGCUGUGAGAAGCUUUAUGCAAUAUUAUGGCCACCAGAAAACAAAAGGACAAAGGUUUUACAGGUACUGCACAUCGACACCACACGAUCUACAUCACCUGGCCAAGCUAAUUUUUUUUCGAUCGAAGGGGCCACACGACCCCAUUUUCAUUAUGAAAAUGGAGUUGUUUACAAGGCAUCAAACCACCAUUACAUCACUGAUCUAGAAGCCACAUCAGGAUGCUCCAGCCUAUCCAGCCAAAUCAUCACACCACUGAUAUAUAUCACCACAUCAGGAUGCUUCAAACAGUCCAAAACUAGCCAUGGAAGGGCCUAG